UUGGCAAUAUCAAAUGGCGCCAGGGGUCAUUUCCAGUUGUCGGACCUCACUAAAGUAGUCACUUAUCAUACUGGACAGCUGGCGUUUUGGCUACAAUACUAAAGGAAAUUAGAACCACAUGCAGUCUGAAAACAAACAAGGGAGUUGCAGGAUUUUGUCAUUGGUUUUGGGGCUCAAGUUUUUCCUUUAGUGCCACGCUAGAAAGAGUUGACCAGUUUGACUAAAAUUAAAGGGAGGGAUGUGGCAUUCUAUAAAAGGGGGAAGGAGAGGGCGAGGUGGACACUCAAGAGCAGAAUCU
This is a long non-coding RNA of Juglans regia (Persian walnut), 298 nucleotides long. RefSeq lists it as uncharacterized. The record is from RefSeq and is a predicted model, not a curated record. The transcript is spliced from 3 exons. NCBI's taxonomy places the organism in Eukaryota, Viridiplantae, Streptophyta, Magnoliopsida, Fagales, Juglandaceae.